This 516-nucleotide ribosomal RNA is filed under the name uncultured Flavobacterium sp. RNAcentral's name for it is "bacterial SSU rRNA". It matches the Rfam family "Bacterial small subunit ribosomal RNA", at positions 9 to 524 of the family's 1533-position model. Lineage: Bacteria; Pseudomonadati; Bacteroidota; Flavobacteriia; Flavobacteriales; Flavobacteriaceae. The record is from RNAcentral.
GAGUUUGAUCGUGGCUCAGGAUGAACGCUAGCGGCAGGCUUAACACAUGCAAGUCGAGGGGUAUAGGUUUUCGGACCUAGAGACCGGCGCACGGGUGCGUAACGCGUAUGCAAUCUACCUUUCACAGAGGGAUAGCCCAGAGAAAUUUGGAUUAAUACCUCAUAGUAUUACGGAAUGGCAUCAUUUUGUAAUUAAAGUCACAACGGUGAAAGAUGAGCAUGCGUCCCAUUAGCUAGAUGGUAAGGUAACGGCUUACCAUGGCAACGAUGGGUAGGGGUCCUGAGAGGGAGAUCCCCCACACUGGUACUGAGACACGGACCAGACUCCUACGGGAGGCAGCAGUGAGGAAUAUUGGUCAAUGGACGCAAGUCUGAACCAGCCAUGCCGCGUGCAGGAUGACGGUCCUAUGGAUUGUAAACUGCUUUUGACGGGAAGAAACACUCCUACGUGUAGGAACUUGACGGUACCGUAAGAAUAAGGAUCGGCUAACUCCGUGCCAGCAGCCGCCGCCGUAAU